RNAcentral lists this unclassified non-coding RNA (175 nucleotides) under uncultured Xylaria. Its description in RNAcentral is "sequence contains ITS1". Lineage: Eukaryota; Fungi; Ascomycota; Sordariomycetes; Xylariales; Xylariaceae. The record is from RNAcentral.
AAGAGUUCUAUAACUCCCAAACCCAUGUGAACAUACCCAACGUUGCCUCGGCAGGUCGCGCUUACCUCGUAGCCCCUACCCCGGUAGGGGCUACCCGGGAGGUGCGGGUAAGCCUGCCGGCGGCCCACCAAACUCUGUUUGAUAUUGAAUUCUGAACGUAUAACUAAAUAAGUUA